UACGGAGGGUGCGAGCGUUGUCCGGAAUCACUGGGCGUAAAGGGCGCGUAGGUGGCGCGGGCAGUCAACGGUGAAAGUUCGGGGCUCAACCCUGAAUAGGCCGUCGAUACUCCCGGGCUGGAGCACUGUAGAGGCUAAUGGAAUUCCGGGUGUAGCGGUGGAAUGCGUAGAGAUCCGGAAGAACACCGGUGGCGAAGGCGGUUAGCUGGGCAGUUGCUGACACUGAGGCGCGACAGCGUGGGGAGCAAACAGG
RNAcentral lists this ribosomal RNA (253 nucleotides) under uncultured bacterium. RNAcentral's name for it is "partial 16S ribosomal RNA". It matches the Rfam family "Bacterial small subunit ribosomal RNA", at positions 524 to 776 of the family's 1533-position model. The record is from RNAcentral.